CAGUCGCCGCGGGAAUACGGAGGAUCCAAGCGUUAUCCGGAAUCAUUGGGUUUAAAGGGUCCGUAGGCGGUCUUGUAAGUCAGUGGUGAAAGCCCAUCGCUCAACGGUGGAACGGCCAUUGAUACUGCAGGACUUGAAUUAUUGGGAAGUAACUAGAAUAUGUAGUGUAGCGGUGAAAUGCUUAGAGAUUACAUGGAAUACCAAUUGCGAAGGCAGGUUACUACCAAUUGAUUGACGCUGAUGGACGAAAGCGUGGGUAGCGAACAGGAUUAGAGACCCCUGUAGUCCCUGUCUCUUAUAC
This 301-nucleotide ribosomal RNA is filed under the name uncultured bacterium. RNAcentral describes it as "partial 16S ribosomal RNA". It matches the Rfam family "Bacterial small subunit ribosomal RNA", at positions 509 to 807 of the family's 1533-position model. The record is from RNAcentral.